AGCAAAUAGAUACCCGGGUAGUCCACGCCCUAAACGAUGUCAACUAGUUGUCGGGUCUUAACGGACUUGGUAAACGCAGCUAAACGCGUGAAAGUUGACCGCCUGGGGAGUACGGUCGCAAGAUUAAAACUCAAAGGAAUUGACGGGGACCCGCACAAGCGGUGGAUUAUGUGGAUUAAUUCGAUGCAACGCGAAAAACCUUACCUACCCUUGACAUGUGCCGAAGCCCGCUGAGAGGUGGGUGUGCCCGAAAGGGAGCGGCAACACAGGUGCUGCAUGGCUGUCGUCAGCUCGUGUCGUGAGAUGUUGGGUUAAGUCCCGCAACGAGCGCAACCCUUGUCAUUAAUUGCCAUCAUUCAGUUGGGCACUUUAAUG
Molecule: ribosomal RNA, 375 nt
Filed under: uncultured bacterium
Lineage: Bacteria
Description: bacterial SSU rRNA
Rfam family: Bacterial small subunit ribosomal RNA
Source: RNAcentral